AACGAACGCUGGCGGCAUGCCUAACACAUGCAAGUCGAACGAGACCUUCGGGUCUAGUGGCUCACGGGUGCGUAAUGCGUGGGAACCUGCCCUUAGGUUCGGAAUAACUCCCCGAAAGGGGUGCUAAUACCGGAUAAUGUCUUCGGACCAAAGAUUUAUCGCCUUUGGAUGGGCCCGCGUUGGAUUAGCUAGUUGGUAGGGUAAAAGCCUACCAAGGCGACGAUCCAUAGCUGGUCUGAGAGGAUGAUCAGCCACACUGGGACUGAGACACGGCCCAGACUCCUACGGGAGGCAGCAGUGGGGAAUAUUGGACAAUGGGCGAAAGCCUGAUCCAGCAAUGCCGCGUGAGUGAUGAAGGCCUUAGGGUUGUAAAGCUCUUUUACCCGGGAUGAUAAUGACAGUACCGGGAGAAUAAGCUCCGGCUAACUCCGUG
RNAcentral lists this ribosomal RNA (433 nucleotides) under uncultured bacterium. RNAcentral describes it as "partial 16S ribosomal RNA". It matches the Rfam family "Bacterial small subunit ribosomal RNA", at positions 29 to 507 of the family's 1533-position model. The record is from RNAcentral.